This 998-nucleotide ribosomal RNA is filed under the name Hyphoderma fissuratum. RNAcentral's name for it is "Hyphoderma sp. XM-2020b partial large subunit ribosomal RNA". It matches the Rfam family "Eukaryotic large subunit ribosomal RNA", at positions 53 to 1040 of the family's 3401-position model. The record is from RNAcentral. Lineage: Eukaryota; Fungi; Basidiomycota; Agaricomycetes; Polyporales; Hyphodermataceae.
GAGGAGAAGACUAACAGGAUUCCCCUAGUAACUGCGAGUGAAGCGGGAAAAGCUCAAAUUUAAAAUCUGGCGGUCUUUGGCCGUCCGAGUUGUAGUCUGGAGAAGUGUUUUCCGUGCUGGACCGUGUACAAGUCUCCUUGGAAUAGGGCGUCAUAGAGGGUGAGAAUCCCGUCUUUGACACGGACUGCCAGUGCUAUGUGAUGCGCUCUCAAAGAGUCGAGUUGUUUGGGAAUGCAGCUCAAAAUGGGUGGUAAAUUCCAUCUAAAGCUAAAUAUUGGCGAGAGACCGAUAGCGAACAAGUACCGUGAGGGAAAGAUGAAAAGCACUUUGGAAAGAGAGUUAAACAGUACGUGAAAUUGCUGAAAGGGAAACGCUUGAAGUCAGUCGCGUUGUUCAGAACUCAGCCUGGCCUCGGCCUGGUGCAUUUUCUGUUCGACGGGCCAGCAUCAAUUUUGAUCAUUGGAAAAAGGUCUCGGGAAUGUGGCAUCUUCGGAUGUGUUAUAGCCCUUGGCUGCAUACAAUGGUUGGGAUUGAGGAUCUCAGCACGCCUUUAUGGUCGGGGUUCGCCCACGUUCGUGCUUAGGAUGCUGGCGUAAUGGCUUUAAACGACCCGUCUUGAAACACGGACCAAGGAGUCUAACAUGCCUGCGAGUGUUUGGGUGGAAAACCCGAGCGCGUAAUGAAAGUGAAAGUUGGGAUCCCUGUCGUGGGGAGCACCGACGCCCGGACCAGACCUUCUGUGACGGUUCCGCGGUAGAGCAUGUAUGUUGGGACCCGAAAGAUGGUGAACUAUGCCUGAAUAGGGUGAAGCCAGAGGAAACUCUGGUGGAGGCUCGUAGCGAUUCUGACGUGCAAAUCGAUCGUCAAAUUUGGGUAUAGGGGCGAAAGACUAAUCGAACCAUCUAGUAGCUGGUUCCUGCCGAAGUUUCCCUCAGGAUAGCAGAAACUCAUGUCAGAUUUAUGUGGUAAAGCGAAUGAUUAGAGGCCUUGGGGUUGAA